Molecule: ribosomal RNA, 1449 nt
Filed under: uncultured Bordetella sp.
Lineage: Bacteria; Pseudomonadati; Pseudomonadota; Betaproteobacteria; Burkholderiales; Alcaligenaceae
Description: partial 16S-23S ribosomal RNA intergenic spacer
Rfam family: Bacterial small subunit ribosomal RNA
Source: RNAcentral
AGUCUGAUCAUGGCUCAGAUUGGAACGCUGGCGGGAUGCCAUUACGCAAGUCGAACGGCAGCACGGACUUCGGUCUGGUGGCGAGUGCGAACGGGUGAGUAAUGUAUCGGAACGCUUCAGUAGUGUGAUAACUACGCGAGCGUAGCUUACUACCGCAUACCGCCCUUCGGGGAAAGCGGGGACCUUCGGGCCCUCGCACUAUUAGAGCGGCCGAUAUCGAUUAGCUUGGUUGGUGGGGUAACGGCUCACCAAGGCGACGAUCCGUAGUCAGUCGGAGGACGACCAGCCACAUUGGGACCGAGAUUGGUUCAGACUCUACGGGAGGCGCAGUGGGGAAUUUCGGAUACUGGAAACCCUGAUCCAGCCAUCCCGCGUGUGCGAUGAAGGCCUUCGGGUUGUGGUAAAGCACUUUUGGCAGGAAGAAACGGCACGGGAUAAUACCCCGUGCAACUGACGGUACCUGCAGAAUAAGCACCGGCUAACUACGCCAGCAGCCGCGGUAAUACGUAGGGUGCAAGCGUUAAUCACCCUCACGGGCGUAAAGCGUGCGCAGGCGGUUCGGAAAGAAGAUGUGAAAUCCCAUAUUUAACUUUGGAACUGCAUUUUGGAACUACCGAGCCAGAGGUGCCAGAGGGUGGAAUUCCGCGUAGCAGUGAAAUGCGUGGAUAUGGAGGAACACCGAUGGCGAAGGCAGCCCCUGGGAUAACACUGACGCUCAUGCACGAAAGCGUGGGGAGCAAACAGGAUUAGAUACCCUGGUAGUCCACGCCCUAAACGAUGUCAACUAGCUGCUGGGUUUUCGGGCCUGGUAGCGCAGCUAACGCGUGAAGUUGACCGCCUGGGAGUACGGUCGCAAGAUUAAACCUCAAAGGAAUUGACGGGGACCCGCACAAGCGGUGGAUGAUGUGGAUUAAUUCGAUGCAACGCGAAAAACUCAUCAUCUCUCGACAUGUCUGAAUCCCGAAGAGAUUUGGGAGUGCUCGCAAGAGAACUGAACACAGGUGCUGCAGGUAUUGUCGUCAAUGAAGUCGUGAGAUGUUGGGUUAAGUCCCGCAACGACAAACCCUUGUCAUUAGUUGCUACGAAAGGGCACUCUAAUGAGACUGCCGGUGACAAACCGGAGGAAGUGGGGAUGACGUCAAGUCCUCAUGGCCCUUAUGGUAGUCAAUACGGCCAUACAAUGGUUUGGACAGAGGGUCGCCAACCCGCGAGGGGGAGCCAAUCCCAGAAACCUGAUCGUAGUCCGGAUCGCAGUCUGCAACCUCGACUGCGUGAAGUCGGAAUCGCUAGUAAUCGCGAUCAGCGGCUGUCGUGACUAUGUUCCCGGGUCUUGUACACACCGCCCGUCACACCAUGGGAGUGGGUUUACCAGAAGUAGUUAGCCUAACCGUAAGGAGGGCGAUUACCACGGCAGGAUUCAGUGACUGGGGUGAAGUCGUAAUAAGGUAA